AGGGUUUGAUCAUGGCUCAGAUUGAACGCUGGCGGUAGGCCUAACACAUGCAAGUCGAGCGAGAACGCGCCUUCGGGUGUUAUUAGAGCGGCGGACGGGUGAGUAACGCGUGGGAAUCUACCCAGUAGCGGGGGAUAACUUGUGGAAACGCAAGCUAAUACCGCAUACGCCCUAAGGGGGAAAGUAGGGGAUCUUCGGACCUUACACUAUUGGAUGAGCCCGCGUCGGAUUAGCUAGUUGGUGAGGUAAAGGCUCACCAAGGCAACGAUCCGUAGCUGGUCUGAGAGGAUGAUCAGCCACACUGGGACUGAGACACGGCCCAGACUCCUACGGGAGGCAGCAGUGGGGAAUAUUGGACAAUGGGCGCAAGCCUGAUCCAGCCAUACCGCGUGUGUGAAGAAGGCUCUAGGGUUGUAAAGCACUUUAAGCAGGGAGGAAGGCCAGUUAGUUAAUAUCUGACUGGAUUGACGUUACCUGCAGAAUAAGCACCGGCUAACUCCGUGCCAGCAGCCGCGGUAAUACGGAGGUGCAAGCGUUAAUCGGAAUACUGGGCGUAAAGCGCGUAGGCGGUUUGCUAAGCCAGAUGUGAAAGCCCCGGGCUCAACCUGGGAACUGCAUUUGGAACUGGUAGGCUAGAGUACGGUAGAGGGUGGUAGAAUUUCCUGUGUAGCGGUGAAAUGCGUAGAUAUAGGAAGGAAUACCAGUGGCGAAGGCGGCCACCUGGACUGAUACUGACGCUGAGGUGCGAAAGCGUGGGGAGCGAACAGGAUUAGAUACCCUGGUAGUCCACGCCGUAAACGAUGUCAACUAGCCGUAGGGAUCCUUGAGGUCUUUGUGGCGCAGCUAACGCAAUAAGUUGACCGCCUGGGGAGUACGGCCGCAAGGUUAAAACUCAAAUGAAUUGACGGGGGCCCGCACAAGCGGUGGAGCAUGUGGUUUAAUUCGAAGCAACGCGAAGAACCUUACCUACUCUUGACAUCCACAGAACUUUUGAGAGAUCAAUUGGUGCCUUCGGGAACUGUGAGACAGGUGCUGCAUGGCUGUCGUCAGCUCGUGUUGUGAAAUGUUGGGUUAAGUCCCGUAACGAGCGCAACCCUUGUCCUUAGUUACCAUCAUUUAGUUGGGUACUUUAAGGAGACUGCCGGUGACAAACCGGAGGAAGGCGGGGACGACGUCAAGUCAUCAUGGCCCUUACGAGUAGGGCUACACACGUGCUACAAUGGCCAGUACAAACGGUUGCAAUCCUGCGAGGGGGAGCUAAUCUGAGAAAGCUGGUCGUAGUCCGGAUCGGAGUCUGCAACUCGACUCCGUGAAGUCGGAAUCGCUAGUAAUCGUGAAUCAGAAUGUCACGGUGAAUACGUUCCCGGGCCUUGUACACACCGCCCGUCACACCAUGGGAGUGGGUUGCUCCAGAAGUAAAUAGCUUAACCUCGGAGGGCGUUUACCACGGAGUGAUUCAUGACUGGGGUGAAGUCGUAACAAGGUAGCCGUA
Molecule: ribosomal RNA, 1492 nt
Filed under: uncultured prokaryote
Description: partial 16S ribosomal RNA
Rfam family: Bacterial small subunit ribosomal RNA
Source: RNAcentral